GACUACUGGGGUAUCUAAGCCCGUUUGCUCCCCUAGCUUUCGCUCCUCAGCGUCAGAAACCGACCAGACCACCGCCUUCGCCGCCGGUGUUCCUCCUGAUAUCAACGCAUUUCACCGCUCCACCAGGAAUUCCGUGGUCCCCUUCGGUCCUCAAGCAAGACAGUUUAGAGCGCAGUUCCUCGGUUGGGCCGAGGGAUUUCACACCCUACUUUUCUCACCGCCUACGAGCUCUUUAUGCCCAGUGAUUCCGAACAACGGUCGCCACCUUCGUCUUACCGCGGCUGCUGGCACGAAGUUAGCCGUGGCUUCCUCCCACGCCUUUGUCAAGACCCAGAGCUUUUAACUCCGUUUCUUUCAUAACGUGUGACAGCGGUUUACAACCCGAAGGCCUUCAUCCCGCACGCGGCGUCGCUCCGUCAGGGUUUCCCCCAUUGCGGAAGAUUCUCGACUGCAGCCCCCCGUAGG
This 465-nucleotide ribosomal RNA is filed under the name uncultured bacterium. Its description in RNAcentral is "partial 16S ribosomal RNA". The record is from RNAcentral.